Molecule: small nucleolar RNA, 84 nt
Organism: Kryptolebias marmoratus (mangrove rivulus)
Lineage: Eukaryota; Metazoa; Chordata; Actinopteri; Cyprinodontiformes; Rivulidae
Product: small nucleolar RNA SNORD11B
Source: Ensembl
UGCCAGGCAAUGAUGAUGAGGACAGCAUGUCAUUUUCCUGAAUAUGACUGAUGGUUUUAAGUCACUACCUCAUCUGAGCCUUCG